GUGUUCACAUGGCAGCACAUAUUCCAAAAUUGGAAUGAUAGAAAAUUAGCUUGGCUGUCACACAAGGAUGACAGGUGGGCUGGAGAGAUGGCUCAGGGGCUG
This 102-nucleotide small nuclear RNA is filed under the name Mesocricetus auratus (golden hamster). The record is from RNAcentral. Lineage: Eukaryota; Metazoa; Chordata; Mammalia; Rodentia; Cricetidae.